RNAcentral lists this ribosomal RNA (446 nucleotides) under uncultured bacterium. RNAcentral's name for it is "partial 16S ribosomal RNA". It matches the Rfam family "Bacterial small subunit ribosomal RNA", at positions 338 to 795 of the family's 1533-position model. The record is from RNAcentral.
CCUACGGGUGGCAGCAGUCGAGAAUCAUUCACAAUGGGGGAAACCCUGAUGGUGCGACGCCGCGUGGGGGAAUGAAGGUCUUCGGAUUGUAAACCCCUGUCAUGUGGGAGCAAAUUAAAAAGAUAGUACCACAAGAGGAAGAGACGGCUAACUCUGUGCCAGCAGCCGCGGUAAUACAGAGGUCUCAAGCGUUGUUCGGAACCACUGGGCGUAAAGCGUGCGUAGGCUGUUUCGUAAGUCGUGUGUGAAAGGCGCGGGCUCAACCCGCGGACGGCACAUGAUACUGCGAGACUAGAGUAAGGGAGGGGGAACCGGAAUUCUCGGUGUAGCAGUGAAAUGCGUAGAUAUCGAGAGGAACACUCGUGGCGAAGGCGGGUUCCUGGACAUUAACUGACGCUGAGGCACGAAGGCCAGGGGAGCGAAAGGGAUUAGAUACCCUAGUAGUC